Molecule: long non-coding RNA, 72 nt
Organism: Sinocyclocheilus anshuiensis
Lineage: Eukaryota; Metazoa; Chordata; Actinopteri; Cypriniformes; Cyprinidae
Exons: 3
Source: RefSeq, a predicted model, not a curated record
AUGCUAUUCUUUAAAAAGAAUAGAGCAAGCUGUUAGAGGCAUUUUUUUGCUUUUGUUAAUUGUAUAAUAAAA